GAACGCUGGCGGCGUGCCUAAUACAUGCAAGUCGAACGCUUCUUUCCUCCCGAGUGCUUGCACUCAAUUGGAAAGAGGAGUGGCGGACGGGUGAGUAACACGUGGGUAACCUACCCAUCAGAGGGGGAUAACACUUGGAAACAGGUGCUAAUACCGCAUAACAGUUUAUGCCGCAUGGCAUAAGAGUGAAAGGCGCUUUCGGGUGUCGCUGAUGGAUGGACCCGCGGUGCAUUAGCUAGUUGGUGAGGUAACGGCUCACCAAGGCCACGAUGCAUAGCCGACCUGAGAGGGUGAUCGGCCACACUGGGACUGAGACACGGCCCAGACUCCUACGGGAGGCAGCAGUAGGGAAUCUUCGGCAAUGGACGAAAGUCUGACCGAGCAACGCCGCGUGAGUGAAGAAGGUUUUCGGAUCGUAAAACUCUGUUGUUAGAGAAGAACAAGGACGUUAGUAACUGAACGUCCCCUGACGGUAUCUAACCAGAAAGCCACGGCUAACUACGUGCCAGCAGCCGCGGUAAUACGUAGGUGGCAAGCGUUGUCCGGAUUUAUUGGGCGUAAAGCGAGCGCAGGCGGUUUCUUAAGUCUGAUGUGAAAGCCCCCGGCUCAACCGGGGAGGGUCAUUGGAAACUGGGAGACUUGAGUGCAGAAGAGGAGAGUGGAAUUCCAUGUGUAGCGGUGAAAUGCGUAGAUAUAUGGAGGAAC
This 705-nucleotide ribosomal RNA is filed under the name Enterococcus faecalis. RNAcentral's name for it is "bacterial SSU rRNA". It matches the Rfam family "Bacterial small subunit ribosomal RNA", at positions 31 to 707 of the family's 1533-position model. The record is from RNAcentral. Lineage: Bacteria; Bacillati; Bacillota; Bacilli; Lactobacillales; Enterococcaceae.